AGACUUUGAUUAUGGCUCAGAACGAACGCUGGCGGCAGGCCUAACACAUGCAAGUCGAACGCGUGCCUUCGGGCACGAGUGGCGGACGGGUGAGUAACGCGUGGGAAUUUGCCUUGGGGUACGGAAUAACCGCGGGAAACUGCGGCUAAUACCGUAUACGUCCUUCGGGAGAAAGAUUUAUCGCCCUGAGAUGAGCCCGCGUCCGAUUAGGUAGUUGGUGAGGUAACGGCUCACCAAGCCUUCGAUCGGUAGCUGGUCUGAGAGGAUGAUCAGCCACACUGGGACUGAGACACGGCCCAGACUCCUACGGGAGGCAGCAGUGGGGAAUAUUGGACAAUGGGGGAAACCCUGAUCCAGCCAUGCCGCGUGAGUGAAGAAGGCCUUAGGGUUGUAAAGCUCUUUCGCCUGUGAUGAUAAUGACAGUAGCAGGUAAAGAAACCCCGGCUAACUCCGUGCCAGCAGCCGCGGUAAUACGGAGGGGGUUAGCGUUGUUCGGAACUACUGGGCGUAAAGCGCACGUAGGCGGACCAGCAAGUUAGGGGUGAAAUCCCGGGGCUCAACCCCGGAACUGCCUUUAAACUGUUGGUUUGAGUUCGCGAGAGGUGAGUGGAAUCCCAGUGUAG
This 623-nucleotide ribosomal RNA is filed under the name uncultured bacterium. RNAcentral's name for it is "bacterial SSU rRNA". It matches the Rfam family "Bacterial small subunit ribosomal RNA", at positions 8 to 678 of the family's 1533-position model. The record is from RNAcentral.